AUUGAACGCUGGCGGAAUGCUUUACACAUGCAAGUCGAACGGUAACAGGUCUUCGGAUGCUGACGAGUGGCGAACGGGUGAGUAAUAUAUCGGAACGUGCCCAGUCGUGGGGGAUAACGUAGCGAAAGUUACGCUAAUACCGCAUACGAUCUAUGGAUGAAAGCGGGGGAUCGCAAGACCUCGCGCGAUUGGAGUGGCCGAUAUCAGAUUAGGUAGUUGGUGGGGUAAAGGCUCACCAAGCCAACGAUCUGUAGCUGGUCUGAGAGGACGACCAGCCACACUGGAACUGAGACACGGUCCAGACUCCUACGGGAGGCAGCAGUGGGGAAUUUUGGACAAUGGACGCAAGUCUGAUCCAGCCAUUCCGCGUGCAGGAUGAAGGCCCUCGGGUUGUAAACUGCUUUUGUACGGAACGAAAAGGUCUCUAUUAAUACUAGGGGCUCAUGACGGUACCGUAAGAAUAAGCACCGGCUAACUACGUGCCAGCCGCCGCAGUAA
RNAcentral lists this ribosomal RNA (498 nucleotides) under uncultured bacterium. Its description in RNAcentral is "partial 16S ribosomal RNA". It matches the Rfam family "Bacterial small subunit ribosomal RNA", at positions 30 to 523 of the family's 1533-position model. The record is from RNAcentral.